GUUAGGGUUCCAAAUUGCAAAUGGCAAGAUGGGAACUCUAGGGCUCCAAAAGAGGAUUUUUGGUAAAGUAUGAGAUUGAUCUCAUUUGAGACCUUGUAAACCUAAUUGGUAGGUGCCUAAAUGCGGAGGCGAAGUCAGAUUUAGCAUUCGUCAAGUGGGUCAAGAGCUAUCGGCAAAAUAAGGCCGAUUGAGCAUCAUUUUGGACCAAGAAGACCGAGACUUCGUCGUAACGUCCGUUGGAGGGCAUUUCUAGAGCCUCCAUACCCUCAAGAGGUGGGGGGUGUCAUCCCGAAGUAUUCGGGUUUCUUUUUAUGUCUAAGUUAAUUUUAUUCAUCAUAUGUGGAUUGUGCAUUAUAGGAUUAGUAGAAGUAUAUUUCUAUUCCUUGCAUGCUUAGUAGUGUAGUGGUAUGGGCUUAACACUUGAACUAGGGAGGCAUGAGGAUUCGGUCUUGAGACAAAGAAUCCUAUAGUGGCAAAAGAGAUGAACUUGGACAUAGCCUAGUAGAGUGGCAUUGAACUAGUGUAGUAAAAACACUAAACAAGAAUGAGUGGCAUGUCAACUAACUAGAAAACUUACUACAAUGAUCGAACGAGUGGCAUCGAGUCUAGUGUAGUAAACAUGACAUAGUUCUAGGGAUAGUAGAGAUCCCAGUAUCUAGGAUGCAUUGUAUAUUGUGCAGCAGAGGCACGUUGACCCUUGUAAAUAGGGUAUCCUCUUGUGAGGAUUGGAUCAUACUCACUAGUCUGUUUUCGCUAUCGGUGGUUGCUCCACCGUGGCACAAGUCUCCGGAGAACUUCACUAGGGGCAGACGUAGUUGUCCCGCAGACGGUCUCGGUGUGCGAGUGCAGCUUCUCCUCACCUAUGAGAUUGAGAGUGAGUCGAGGGUUUAACCUACGGGUUAACCAAGUAGAUUGGGUAAUAAACUUGGAAUGCAUAGUAGACUUGCAUUAUUACCUUGAGUAGACAUAGUGUAUGUUGUAGUUUACAUUACUAUGCACUUUAUAUGCUCAUGACAUAAUACUAGCAUGAUAGUAAUUGUUGCAUGCAUUAUUAUCAUUGAGUUAGUUAGUAGCUUUCCAUUAUGCAUCAGAGUACCCUCGUGUACUAGAUACCAUGUAUACUUUGGAUAGAUAUUAGAGAGCCAGGAUGUAUUUUGAAAAACAUGUAUUUACAUUUUGGAAGGUGAAAAUGUAAUGUAAUCAAAUGAUAUAACUAUUGAAUGGUUAUAAUAGCUAGAUAUUUCUCUCUUUAUACACUUGUACAUUACUUGUGGUUCUUGCUCUUAGAUGUGUUGUACUUGUGUGCAUCGUAUUUGAUCAUGUAUGUUAUUUAAGCAAUUUCCUCGGUGCUUAAUUGUACAUGAUCUGGUUGCUUAGCCUUGAGCGGACAAGAGAGGUGCUGUCCAUUCGGCGUUCGUCCGCCGCGCCCGAACCGUGCCAAAUUGGUAGCGGCAUUGGGACGGGGGCGUGACACAAAUACAUCAUCUGUCUCAAAAUACAAAAUGGGUGGUCUCUAUACAUAGUACACUCUCAACCUCUCCAAAAUAAAACCAAUGAGAGGUAGACCACCUAUCGAUGCGUCCCUCACAAAAGAGCUAGCUCGAGGCGAUGCCCUUUUCGCGGUCCCUAGCCUCGCCCGGUGUGGAAAGCUCUGAAAGGAAAUAAGAAACAGGGGGCGUGAGAACUAUAACUUAUAGUUCCCAGUGGGCAAUUACUGACCUCAGCACAUUGCGCCCCUAGGCCCAAAAGAGUACGGUACAUGUGUUAAACAACUGGAAUUAAACUGCAGAUAUGAAAGUAUGUAUUGAAUGCUAAAAUAAACUACUAUGCUAUAAGCAAUAUUGUAAUAUACCGAAAAUUCGGAAAAUAAAAGUCGAACUUUAGCCAAAUUGACCAAAGUGCGAGGAUGGAACACUUCGGAGAGUCCGAAAGUGUUAAAAUGAUCAAAAGUGAGUUGUGGAAGGUUUUCGAGAGCUAAAGAAUCAAAUUCUGCAAAACUGCAGAUUUUCAGCUCUCGGGGACCGGUCCCUGGUGGGAGAGACCGGUCCCCGAACGCGUAUAAGAUGAGACAGCCGAAAAAUCGGCUAAGUCCUGAGAAAGUAUGUAAUAUACCGAAAAUUCGGAAAAUAAAUAUCGAACUUUAGUCAAAUUGACCAAAGUNGCGGCCGACAACACGACGCUAAGAGUUAGGACUAAUACAAUGGUGUACGUCCGCUUAUGGCGGAGUUGAGUUGCGUAAUAUAGUGUAUGCGACGGAGUUAAGUGGGUUAGAUGACUAACCCGGUUGUUGCGUUGCAGGAACAAUGUCCCCAAGACGCUACGUGCGUAGGUCCGUUCCGGCACCAUCUCCUGAGGUGCCCGAGGAAGCCGAAUCUAGUGAAGUACAAGAACUACGGGCGCAGGUGUCGGCAUUGACCGGCAUUGUACAACGCCAGGAGAGUCGAUUCGAGCAGCUCCAAGGGCUUAUGGAGCGGCAUUUUGCGGCGGCAACUGCAGCUGCAACUGAGGGCCAUGAUCCGCCCCCGCCUCCAGCUUGUGCGCCUACGGCGGCUGAGGGCGAGGGCAUUGCGGCAGUUCCAGUGGCGGCACGUCCUCCGCCGGUGAGCGUUCUUCCGGCGGCAUCGGGUUCUACGACACCCGAUGCGACGGCAUUGGAGGCGGAGAGGGAGCGCGCACUUGCGGCUCUUGAGAAGUUCCGGAAGUUCAAUCCACCGACCUUCGAGGGAGAGAAGGUCGAGCCAUGGAUGGUUGAGUCGUGGGUGGACGCAAUGGAGACCUUGUUCGAGGACCUCUACACGUUGGAGAAGGACAAGGUCUACCUCGCCACUCAUUGUUUGGAGCGAACGGCGAAGGUUUGGUGGAAGUGAAUCAAGAGAAAUCGAGCUUCCGACCUUCCGCCGUUGACGUGGGAGGAGUUUCGGGGAUUGUUCUAUGUCAACUACUUCCCCGAUAGCGAGAAGAAGAAGCUCCAAGAGCAAUUUCAGAAGUUGAAGCAAGGUAGCCUCACGAUAGCGGAAUAUAAGCGGGAGUUCUCUCACAUCAUUGACUGCGGCCUCGAUAUAGUGCGGGAUGACAGGGAUCGAGCCGAUUAGUUCGAGCGAGGGCUCCGGGCUGAUAUCUACCGGGCGGUGCACAUUCUGAAGCUCACUACCUUCGCGGAGGUACUCGACAGAGCGUUGUGGGCGGAGCAAGGAAACGCUCACAUCCGGGAGGAGCGAGAGGUGUUCGAGAAGGACGGUGGCAAGAAACGGGCUCAAGGCGGUUCGGGAGCUCAAUCGAAGUCAAGGAAGCCCCCGAAGUACCCGCAAACGCAAUCCAAGGGCUGCGGACCACAACGGUGCACGAUCUGUGGUGGGAACCACGAGCCGAGGAUGUGUGAUCAACGGGAGGGGAAGUGCUUCACGUGUGGGCAGGCGCGCCACAUCAGCCGCUACUGUCCAGUGAGGGCUUCGCCUGCCCCUUCGGUCGCAUCGGCUCCGGCGACUCCGGCGCAUUAUGGAGGAGUUCCACCUGCUGCGUCAUCGGCUGGACGUGCGAUGGUACCACGCCAAUCUGAGGCGACGAGAUCGGCUUCGAGCAGGCGGGUGUUCGCCGCCCAAACUCAAGCCGAGGAACCUGCUGAGGUGAAGGAUCGCCAUGUACUCGCAGGUAUGGUUUUUAAUUAACGGAGUUCGCUCCAGGGCUAUGUUUGAUACAGGUGCUACACAUUCAUUCAUCAGUAGGUCAUUUGCACGCAUGCAUGACAUAGAACUACAAGAGAGUAAAAGCACUUAGAGAGUAUCGGGCCCCAGACGUGAUUUUCUAGUCCGUAAGGAGUGUUCGUCUUGUCUGGUGCGGUUGGGCGAUUGGAUAAUGCCCAUCCGUAUGUUGGUGCUCAAAAAGUUGAAAGACUUCGACGUCAUUCUAGGAAUAGAUUGGCUCUCGAAGUACUAUGCGACCAUUCACUGCAGAAGUAAAGUGAUUACAUUUCGCGAGCCGGGCCAGGAAGAGUUCGUCUAACGGGCUUGUAGAAGCUCAUAUUUCGCCGCCACGGUAUCGGCGGCGAGAGCAAGGAAGCUAGUCAACAGCAAUUGUACGGCCUACUUGGCGACCGUUGUAGAAGUAGAGAGGACGACUCCUGCGCUCAAGGAGCUGUCUGUGGUUUGGGAAUUUCCAAAUGUAUUUCCCGUGGAGUUAUCAGGAAUGCCGCCAAACCGGAAGAUCGAGUUCGUGAUAGACUUGGUUCCAGGAACCGCGCCUAUCUCGAAGGCUCCGUAUCGGAUGGCGCCGGCGGAAUUGAAGGAGUUGCGGGCUCAGUUAUUGGAUAUCCUUGAUAAGGAAUUUAUACGACCAAGUGUAUCACCGUGGGGAGCCCCGGUUCUAUUCGUGCAAAAGAAUGACGGAUCAUUUCGACUCUGCGUAGAUUAUCGUGAGUUGAACAAAGUCACGAUCAAGAACAAGUACCCAUUGCUGAGGAUUGAUGAUCUGUUUGAUCAGUUGCAAGGGUCUCGGGUUUAUUCAAAGAUUGACCUGCAGUUCGGUUAUCACCAACUCAAGAUUAAGCCGGAAGAUGUGCAAAAGACCGCGUUUCGCACGCGAUAUGGACACUAUGAAUUCACGGUCAUGCCGUUUGGGCUCACUAACGCCCCGGCAGCGUUCAUGGAUCUGAUGAACCGUGUCUUCAAGGAGUAUUUGGACCAAUUUGUCGUGGUCUUCAUAGACGACAUCUUGGUCUAUUCUCGUAGCGACGAGGAACAUGCCGAGCAUUUGAGGAUAGUGCUUCAAGUCCUUCGGGAGGAGAAGCUAUAUGCUAAGUUUAAGAAAUGCGACUUUUGGCUCCGAGAGGUUGCAUUUCUUGGGCAUGUCAUUUCCGAGGGAGGAGUAUCCGUUGACCCGAGGAAAGUGGAGGCGAUCAAGGAUUGGCCUCGCCCGACUAACAUCACUAAAGUUCGAAGCUUCGUGGGUUUAGCGGGUUAUUAUAGACGGUUCGUGGAAGGAUUCUCGAAAAUCGUGGGUCCACUUACCCAUCUGACUCGGAAAGGCACCAAGUUCAUUUAGAGUGACGAGUGCGACCGGAGUUUUCAAGAGUUGAAGGAUAGAUUAACUUCGACUCCGGUGCUCGCCUUACCGGUGCAAAACGAAGACUUUGUAGUGUAUAGCGACGCGUCACAUUCGGGCUUAGCGUGUGUGCUGAUGCAAGGCGGGAAGGUGAUCGCUUAUGCUUCCCGUCAGCUAAAGAGCUAUGAGAAGAAUUACCCUGUCCACGAUUUAGAGUUGGCCGCAGUGGUGUUUGCCCUCAAGUUAUGGAGGCACUACUUGUAUGGAGCGCGUUGCGAGAUAUACACGGACCACAAGAGUCUAAAGUACCUAUUCAUGCAAAAGGAGCUCAAUAUGCGUCAGCGGCGGUGGUUGGAAUUGCUGAAGGAUUUCGAUGUGACAAUCCUAUACCACCCCGGAAAAGCAAACGUGGUGGCCGACGCGCUUAGCAGGAAGUCAGUGGAAAAUCUUGCUAUGUUGGUCACACAUCAAGAACCAUUGUGGAGAGAGAUGGAGCGAUUGGACCUCGAGGUGGUAGCUCUGGAAAUCCCAUCUACGCUUACGGCUCUCGUUGUCCAACAGAUCUUGUUGGAGCAGAUUAAGAGUUUGCAAUCUGCAGACCCCAAUCUCCAAAAGGUGCGGCGGGACAUCAAGAGUGGACGCGGCGGCGAUUUCAGUGUAGAUGCUGAGGGUGCGCUUCAGUUUCGAAACCGAUAGUGCAUACCGGAGAACAAGGAGGUCCGGAAGUUAAUAUUGCAAGAGGCACAUCGGACUCCUUAUAGUAUUCACCCGGGCGGCACCAAGAUGUACCGUGAUCUGAAGAUAGAGUACUGGUAGCCGGGCAUGAAAGCAGACAUUGGGCGCUAUGUAGCACAGUGCCUUGUAUGCCAGCAAGUGAAGGCUGAGCGUCGAUUUCCAGCAGGAAAGCUCCAAAGUUUACCUAUUCCCGUUUGGAAAUGGGAGAAUAUAGCUAUGGACUUCAUGGUCGGAUUGCCCCGUUCGACGGGUGGCCACGACACGAUCUGGGUGAUUGUGGAUCGUAUGACCAAGUUGGCACACUUUCUACCGAUUCACACCACCUGGUCGGGCGACAAGUUGGCGCAGAUAUACUUGGAUGAAGUUGUGAGGUUGCACGGGGUUCCGAAGUCGAUCGUGUCAGAUCAAGACCCUCGUUUUACUUCACACUUUUGGAAAAGCCUGCAAGAAGCACUUGGCACACGGCUCGAUUUCAGCACCGCAUUUCAUCUUCAGACAGAUGGACAGUCAGAGAGGACUAUACAGAUUCUGGAGGAUAUGUUGCGGGCGUGUGUCAUUGACUACAAGGGUAGUUGGGCAAACCAUUUGAGGAUGGCCGAGUUCGCCUAUAACAACAGUUAUCAAGCUAGCAUUGGGAUGGCACCGUUCGAGGUCCUAUAUGGACGGAAGUGCCAAUCCCCUAUAUGUUGGAGCGAUGUAGGUGAACCUACGGCAUUGGGCCCAGACAUAUUGCGAGAGGCGGAAGAGAAGGUCCCUCUUGCUCGCGAGAGGCUACUUACGGCACAGUCGAGGCAAAAGAGCUAUUCUAACAAACGCCGUAGAGAUUUGGAAUUUGCGGUAGGUGACCGUGUUUUCCUGAAGGUUUCGCCAAUGAGAGGUGUGAAACGCUUCGGAGUGCGGGGAAAGCUAAGUCCCCGAUAUAUUGGACUGUUCGAAGUGUUGGAACGUAUUGGAGCAGUAGCAUAUAGACUAGCAUUACCGCCGAAGCUCGCGGGUGUGUAUAAUGUGUUCCACGUCUCCAACCUUCGCAAGUAUAUUCCCGAUCCCGAGCAUGUUAUGUACUACGAGCCACCGGAUCUACACGAGGAUUUGAGCUAUGAAGAAUUUUCGGCAAUGAUUAUUGCUCGAGAAGUGCGGAAAUUGAGGAACCGCGAGAUUCCCUAUGUGAAGAUUCGUUGGACCAAUCACAGCGAUCGUGAGGCUACGUGGGAACCAAUGAAAGUGCAUUAUCCUCAUCUGUUCACGAAAAUGCAAUGAGGUAUCAGUUGUUGAAUUCGUUUCGAGGACGAAACUCCUUUUUAGGAGGGGAGGAUGUAAGGAAGUGAAUUCUCGAAAUACGAGAGUUAGACUUCAUCCAGAAUCGACCAAGGGUCGUAUUGGUGAGCUUUGGAAAAGCCAAAGAUGUCAAAAUCACCAAAAGUAUUUUGGAAACGAGUCCACGAGAGCAAAUAGUGCAAAAUCUGCACUGGAGCAAAACUGCUCUCGGGGACCGGUCCCUUGCAGGGAGGGACCGGUCCCAUCGGCUGGUGGUUGCGGGGAUCCUUGAGGCAACCGAUCCCUGGCAGGGAGAGACCGGUCCCCGAACGUGACCCUAGCGAGAAAAGCCAAAAUUUGGCUAAGUCCCGAAAAUCCUGCUCUCGGGAACCGGUCUCUCGGUCAAGGACCGGUCUCCCAGGGACCGGUCUCUCAGGGAAGGACCGGUUCCCAAACGCGUGACCCCGGCUAAGACUCUCAGGGACCGGUCCCAAGUCGAGGAGACCGGUCCCUCUGGGCGGAAAAUGCCCAGUGAGGGGCAGUGCACAGGAGCAAAAGGUGGGGGACUUAUAUGGAUAUUGUUACAAUAUGAGGUGAAUGGGACCCCUCCUCUCUCUCAUCUCCUCAUUCCCCUCUCCCUCUCUCUCACACUCUUUCUCCCUCUCUCUCUAGCAAGAGAAGAACAAAGGAAAGAACAAGAAGCAAAAGAAAAGAGAAGGAAAAGAAGGAGGAAAGGAAGGAGAAGAAGAAGGAGAUCAAUCUUGGGAGGCUUUUGGACCUCUCCCUCUUUCUCUCUUCUCAUUUGGAAGCUACACAAGAGGUAGGCUUCUAACUCUAGCUUAUGAAACUUAGGGUUUUUGGGCUUUGAGCUUUGGAAAUGGGGUCAAAUGGACCCCUAGCACCAUUGUUGGUGGAUUGAAGCUAGAGUUAGGGCUUCAAAUUGCAAAUGGCAAGAUGGGAACCCUAGGGCUCCAAAAGAGGGUUUUUGGUAAAGUAUAAGAUUGAUCUCAUUUGAGACCUUAUAAACCUAAUUGGUAGGUGCCUAAACGCGGGGGCGAAGUCGGAUUUAGCAUUCAUCAAGUGGGUCAAGAGCUAUCAACAAAAUAAGGCCGAUUGAGCAUUAUUUUGGACCAAGAAGACCGAGACUUCGUCGUAACGUCCGUUGGAGGACAUUUCUAGAGCCUCCAUACCCUUAAGAGGUGGGGGGUGUCAUCCCGAAGCAUCCGGAUUUUCUUUUAUGUCUAAGUUAAUUUUAUUCAUCAUAU
Molecule: long non-coding RNA, 8291 nt
Filed under: Ananas comosus (pineapple)
Lineage: Eukaryota; Viridiplantae; Streptophyta; Magnoliopsida; Poales; Bromeliaceae
Description: long non-coding RNA (ACOM_LNC034997)
Source: RNAcentral